This 377-nucleotide ribosomal RNA is filed under the name Ovophis makazayazaya. Its description in RNAcentral is "partial 12S ribosomal RNA". The record is from RNAcentral. Lineage: Eukaryota; Metazoa; Chordata; Lepidosauria; Squamata; Viperidae.
UGUUCGCCAAACAACUACGAGUCCCACUUAAAACUUAAAAGACUUGACGGUACUUCAUCACGGCCUAGAGGAGCCUGUCUAAUAACCGACAAUCCACGAUUAACCCCACCCCUUCUCGCCUUACAGUCUAUAUACCGCCGUCGCCAGCUUACCUUGUAAAAGAAAAAAAGUGAGCUAAACAGUACUGCACUAAAACGACAGGUCGAGGUGUAACCUAUGAAAGGGACUACGAUGGGCUACAUUCUUCAACCAAGAACACGAAUAACACUAUGAAAUUAAUGCUUGAAGGCGGAUUUAGCAGUAAGAUAAGAAUAAAACACUUAACUGAACAUGACGCAAUGAAGUGCGUACACACCGCCCGUCACCCCUGUCACCAC